UUCAGUCUUCUUUUUCCUUCCUAGGUAAGAAAGGCUCAGAAAAGGGAGAGAAGGCAGAGCCAGUCAUGACACAGAGCCUCAACAGAGGCUGGUCUCCAGCAUCAGGCACUGAUGACAUUCACUGAGCCACAGCCCAUGCCCAGAAGGUUUCCGACGUUCACAUAGACCACAGGCCUUCUCCAGAAGUAAGCACCAACAGGGGCUACAAGAUCACUGAC
Molecule: long non-coding RNA, 218 nt
Filed under: Homo sapiens (human)
Lineage: Eukaryota; Metazoa; Chordata; Mammalia; Primates; Hominidae
Description: non-protein coding lnc-ZNF22-1:1
Source: RNAcentral